This 301-nucleotide ribosomal RNA is filed under the name uncultured bacterium. RNAcentral's name for it is "partial 16S ribosomal RNA". It matches the Rfam family "Bacterial small subunit ribosomal RNA", at positions 509 to 808 of the family's 1533-position model. The record is from RNAcentral.
CAGCAGCGCGGUAAUACGGAGGGUGCAAGCGUUAAUCGGAAUUACUGGGCGUAAAGCGCACGCAGGCGGUCUGACAAGUCAGAUGUGAAAUCCCCGGGCUUAACCUGGGAACUGCAUUUGAAACUGUCAGGCUGGAGUCUUGUAGAGGGGGGUGGAAUUCCAGGUGUAGCGGUGAAAUGCGUAGAGAUCUGGAGGAAUACCGGUGGCGAAGGCGGCCCCCUGGACAAAGACUGACGCUCAGGUGCGAAAGCGUGGGGAGCAAACAGGAUUAGAUACCCCGGUAGUCCCUGUCUCUUAUACA